UGGGGAAUUUUGGACAAUGGGGGAAACCCUGAUCCAGCCAUCCCGCGUGUGCGAUGAAGGCCUUCGGGUUGUAAAGCACUUUUGGCAGGAAAGAAAGCGUCGCGGGUUAAUACCCCGCGAAACUGACGGUACCUGCAGAAUAAGCACCGGCUAACUACGUGCCAGCAGCCGCGGUAAUACGUAGGGUGCAAGCGUUAAUCGGAAUUACUGGGCGUAAAGCGUGCGCAGGCGGUUCGGAAAGAAAGAUGUGAAAUCCCAGAGCUUAACUUUGGAACUGCAUUUUUAACUACCGGGCUAGAGUGUGUCAGAGGGAGGUGGAAUUCCGCGUGUAGCAGUGAAAUGCGUAGAUAUGCGGAGGAACACCGAUGGCGAAGGCAGCCUCCUGGGAUAACACUGACGCUCAUGCACGAAAAGCGUGGGGAGCAAAGCAGGAUUAGAUACCCNUUGNGUCCACGCCCCUAAACGAUGUCAAACUAGCUGUUGGGGCCUUCGGGCCUUGGUAGCGCAGCUAACGCGUGAAGUUGACCGCCUGGGGAGUACGGUCGCAAGAUUAAAACUUAAAUGAAUUGACGGGGUCAUAGCUGUUU
This 587-nucleotide ribosomal RNA is filed under the name uncultured bacterium. Its description in RNAcentral is "partial 16S ribosomal RNA". It matches the Rfam family "Bacterial small subunit ribosomal RNA", at positions 355 to 935 of the family's 1533-position model. The record is from RNAcentral.